Acanthosepion pharaonis is the source of this 109-nucleotide non-coding RNA. NCBI's taxonomy places the organism in Eukaryota, Metazoa, Mollusca, Cephalopoda, Sepiida, Sepiidae. The record is from the annotation of a GenBank genome assembly.
UACGGCUACAUCUCGUUGAAACAUCAGUUCCCAUACGAUCACCGAAGUUAAGCAAUUUCAAAUCUGGUCAGUAUCUAGGUGGGUGACUGUUUGGGAAAUACCAGGUGCA